UAAAAGUCGUAACAAGGUUUCCGUAGGUGAACCUGCGGAAGGAUCAUUAUUGAAUUUAUGAUUUAAACAAUCUUAUAUUCUUGUGAACUUUAUAAACUUUGCUUGGGUGAUAGUAUUGGAGACUUUACUGUUGCCCAAAGUUUUUUACAAAAACACUUUAUUAAAAAAAACACCAAAACGAUUCUGAAAAUUUUUAAAAAAUUAAAUUAAAACUUUCAACAACGGAUCUCUUGGUUCUCGCAUCGAUGAAGAACGCAGCAAAAUGCGAUAAGUAAUGUGAAUUGCAGAAUUGUGAAUCAUCGAAUCUUUGAACGCACAUUGCGCCUUUUGGUAUUCCAAAAGGCAUGCCUGUUUGAGCGUGAUUACAUCUUCUUAAAUCAACUUUAUUGUUUGAAUUUUAAGGUAUUGGAAAUUUUGUACUAAUUUUUUAGUACAAUUUUCUGAAAUACAUUGGUGAUCUUGUGAAAUUCCAAUUUAUAAAAAAACGUAUUAGGUUUUAUCCACUCGUUUUUAAUUAUAUUAUUGACUUUUCGCAAAUUUAUAGAUCUGUCCAAAAUUUGUUUUAUCACUUUCCACCUCAAAUCAAGUAGGACUACCCGCUGAACUUAAGCAUAUCAAUA
Molecule: ribosomal RNA, 620 nt
Filed under: uncultured eukaryote
Lineage: Eukaryota
Description: eukaryotic LSU rRNA
Rfam family: 5.8S ribosomal RNA (bases 211-362)
Source: RNAcentral